This 484-nucleotide ribosomal RNA is filed under the name uncultured bacterium. RNAcentral describes it as "partial 16S ribosomal RNA". It matches the Rfam family "Bacterial small subunit ribosomal RNA", at positions 30 to 507 of the family's 1533-position model. The record is from RNAcentral.
AUUGAACGCUGGCGGCAGGCCUAACACAUGCAAGUCGAGCGGAUGAAGGGAGCUUGCUCCUGGAUUCAGCGGCGGACGGGUGAGUAAUGCCUAGGAAUCUGCCUGGUAGUGGGGGAUAACGUCCGGAAACGGGCGCUAAUACCGCAUACGUCCUGAGGGAGAAAGUGGGGGAUCUUCGGACCUCACGCUAUCAGAUGAGCCUAGGUCGGAUUAGCUAGUUGGUGGGGUAAAGGCCUACCAAGGCGACGAUCCGUAACUGGUCUGAGAGGAUGAUCAGUCACACUGGAACUGAGACAAGGUCCAGACUCCUACGGGAGGCAGCAGUGGGGAAUAUUGGACAAUGGGCGAAAGCCUGAUCCAGCCAUGCCGCGUGUGUGAAGAAGGUCUUCGGAUUGUAAAGCACUUUAAGUUGGGAGGAAGGGCAGUAAGUUAAUACCUUGCUGUUUUGACGUUACCAACAGAAUAAGCACAGGCUAACUUCGUG